Alosa alosa (allis shad) is the source of this 314-nucleotide long non-coding RNA. RefSeq lists it as uncharacterized. The transcript has 3 exons. The record is from RefSeq and is a predicted model, not a curated record. Lineage: Eukaryota; Metazoa; Chordata; Actinopteri; Clupeiformes; Clupeidae.
CCAGGACUCCACUGUUCUAAGCGAUCUAGUGUGGUGUCAAAUGCUUGUCUGGCACUAAGGGAUCUGUUGACUGACUAAUAACGUUAGCUGAGACCACCAGGGCAUUCUUUUAGGCAUUUGUAGCAUACACGUGGUGUAAGGGUUGGCAAAAUGCUCAUCAAGGUCCAGUACCGUGGACUAAAAAAGUACCUCAAACUGCAGCCUGGUUUUUCUUAUGAAAGUUUCAUUGAAGAAGAAUUUGUGCCAGCAGGUUCUUCUACUCUAAAUUCUUCACUUUUCUGAAGUGAUAUGGAGAGGUCCUCUUCAAACAAGGG